AUGGCUUUGGCUAGGGCUACUGAAUCAAAGAUUGUGUUCCUGUGUGAGACUAGACAAAGUGUAGAAAAAGUCCGUCGUCUUCAUGCUAGAUUGGGUCUUAGAGGUUUUGCUGGUGUCGACAGUGUUGGGCUUAGUGGGGGUCUUGCUUUGUUUUGGUGUGAUCAGAUGUACGUGGAUGUU
Molecule: ribosomal RNA, 180 nt
Filed under: Triticum aestivum (bread wheat)
Lineage: Eukaryota; Viridiplantae; Streptophyta; Magnoliopsida; Poales; Poaceae
Description: partial small subunit ribosomal RNA
Source: RNAcentral